This 1372-nucleotide ribosomal RNA is filed under the name uncultured bacterium. RNAcentral describes it as "bacterial SSU rRNA". It matches the Rfam family "Bacterial small subunit ribosomal RNA", at positions 28 to 1381 of the family's 1533-position model. The record is from RNAcentral.
GAUGAACGCUGGCGGCGUGCCUAAUACAUGCAAGUCGAGCGAACGGACGAGAAGCUUGCUUCUCUGAUGUUAGCGGCGGACGGGUGAGUAACACGUGGAUAACCUACCUAUAAGACUGGGAUAACUUCGGGAAACCGGAGCUAAUACCGGAUAAUAUUUUGAACCGCAUGGUUCAAAAGUGAAAGACGGUCUUGCUGUCACUUAUAGAUGGAUCCGCGCUGCAUUAGCUAGUUGGUAAGGUAACGGCUUACCAAGGCAACGAUGCAUAGCCGACCUGAGAGGGUGAUCGGCCACACUGGAACUGAGACACGGUCCAGACUCCUACGGGAGGCAGCAGUAGGGAAUCUUCCGCAAUGGGCGAAAGCCUGACGGAGCAACGCCGCGUGAGUGAUGAAGGUCUUCGGAUCGUAAAACUCUGUUAUUAGGGAAGAACAUAUGUGUAAGUAACUGUGCACAUCUUGACGGUACCUAAUCAGAAAGCCACGGCUAACUACGUGCCAGCAGCCGCGGUAAUACGUAGGUGGCAAGCGUUAUCCGGAAUUAUUGGGCGUAAAGCGCGCGUAGGCGGUUUUUUAAGUCUGAUGUGAAAGCCCACGGCUCAACCGUGGAGGGUCAUUGGAAACUGGAAAACUUGAGUGCAGAAGAGGAAAGUGGAAUUCCAUGUGUAGCGGUGAAAUGCGCAGAGAUAUGGAGGAACACCAGUGGCGAAGGCGACUUUCUGGUCUGUAACUGACGCUGAUGUGCGAAAGCGUGGGGAUCAAACAGGAUUAGAUACCCUGGUAGUCCACGCCGUAAACGAUGAGUGCUAAGUGUUAGGGGGUUUCCGCCCCUUAGUGCUGCAGCUAACGCAUUAAGCACUCCGCCUGGGGAGUACGACCGCAAGGUUGAAACUCAAAGGAAUUGACGGGGACCCGCACAAGCGGUGGAGCAUGUGGUUUAAUUCGAAGCAACGCGAAGAACCUUACCAAAUCUUGACAUCCUUUGACAACUCUAGAGAUAGAGCUUUCCCCUUCGGGGGACAAAGUGACAGGUGGUGCAUGGUUGUCGUCAGCUCGUGUCGUGAGAUGUUGGGUUAAGUCCCGCAACGAGCGCAACCCUUAAGCUUAGUUGCCAUCAUUAAGUUGGGCACUCUAAGUUGACUGCCGGUGACAAACCGGAGGAAGGUGGGGAUGACGUCAAAUCAUCAUGCCCCUUAUGAUUUAGGCUACACACGUGCUACAAUGGACAAUACAAAGGGCAGCGAAACCGUGAGGUCAAGCAAAUCCCAUAAAGUUGUUCUCAGUUCGGAUUGUAGUCUGCAACUCGACUACAUGAAGCUGGAAUCGCUAGUAAUCGUAGAUCAGCAUGCUACGGUGAAUACGUUCCCGGGUCU